This 365-nucleotide unclassified non-coding RNA is filed under the name fungal sp. Its description in RNAcentral is "partial internal transcribed spacer region". The stretch from base 1 to 46 matches the Rfam family "Eukaryotic small subunit ribosomal RNA", at positions 1786 to 1831 of the family's 1831-position model. The record is from RNAcentral. Lineage: Eukaryota; Fungi.
AAGUCGUAACAAGGUUUCCGUAGGUGAACCUGCGGAAGGAUCAUUAACACGUAUCCAACGUUAAACCAUUGUACGAGUUACAUCCACGUCAUAAACCGGCAUCUCUGGUAAAUCAUCGCCGAACAGUUUUGAUUCAGAGACCUCUGGGAAGGGUGUACGGUAGUGCAUUCCUCGGCUUGUUAGUGUCUAAGUCACUAGCUAUGUACGGAUGGCGCAGUAACGAUCGCUGGAGGCCGACACGGCCAGCGACCAGGUCACUGGGCUACGGCCCCCCUGAUCACAACCUUUGCAUGAAAACGGGCCUGCGCUGAGGUUCGGCCACCCUAAUGCUUGAACAACUGUUAACAAUGGAUAUCUUGGUUCUC